AUACGGAGGACGCGAGCGUUAUCCGGAUUCAUUGGGUUUAAAGGGUGCGCAGGCGGCCGUGCAAGUCAGCGGUGAAAGCCCGGGGCUCAACCCCGGAAGUGCCGUUGAUACUGCGUGGCUGGAAUGCGGUCGAGGCGGGCGGAACGUGGCGUGUAGCGGGGAAAUGCGUAGAUAUGCCACAGAACGCCGAUAGCGGAGGCAGCUCGCCAGGCCUGCAUUGACGCUCGGGCACGAAAGCGUGGGGAUCGAACAGGAUUAGAUACCCUGGUAGUCCACGCCGUAAACGAUGGGCGCUCGUCGUCGGCGACAGACAGUCGGCGGCCAAGCGAAAGCGAUAAGCGCCCCACCUGGGGAGUACGGUCGCAAGGCUGAAACUCAAAUGAAUUGACGGGG
This 393-nucleotide ribosomal RNA is filed under the name uncultured bacterium. RNAcentral describes it as "partial 16S ribosomal RNA". It matches the Rfam family "Bacterial small subunit ribosomal RNA", at positions 523 to 918 of the family's 1533-position model. The record is from RNAcentral.